UACGUAGGGGGCAAGCGUUAUCCGGAUUUACUGGGUGUAAAGGGAGCGUAGGCGGUAAUGCAAGUCAGAAGUGAAAGCCCGGGGCUCAACUCCGGGACUGCUUUUGAAACUGUGUUGCUAGAUUGCAGGAGAGGUAAGUGGAAUUCCUAGUGUAGCGGUGAAAUGCGUAGAUAUUAGGAGGAACACCAGUGGCGAAGGCGGCUUACUGGACUGUAAAUGACGCUGAGGCUCGAAGGCGUGGGGAGCAAACAGG
This 253-nucleotide ribosomal RNA is filed under the name uncultured bacterium. RNAcentral describes it as "partial 16S ribosomal RNA". It matches the Rfam family "Bacterial small subunit ribosomal RNA", at positions 524 to 776 of the family's 1533-position model. The record is from RNAcentral.